GUCCUCCCAAUUCUCGUUUACUUGAUUAUAUCCAAAGUUGAUACAUUUAGAUAGACUCCUGCCUGCUUGUUCUUGCAAACAGCAUUGGGUCUGGAAAUACAGGAAGCGUGGAGCUUCUGCAGGAGCAUUUUGGAUGAGGACUUUCUAAGUUGGAUCAUCCAAAUGUGAUUCUUGAUCAACUGGUUUACACAAAUAUAGUUGGACAAGGGUGGGAUAUUAUAUACAGAGUGGAAUUCACAUCCUAGGGUUUAAUAGAGGCGGCCAUUUUCUCAAGGAGCCAGCUAGGGUUUAGGAUUUUCGGAGCUUUAAGAAGAGGUACACCUUGGGAGAUCGAAGCCGAAA
Long non-coding RNA from Daucus carota subsp. sativus, 342 nucleotides. RefSeq lists it as uncharacterized. The record is from RefSeq and is a predicted model, not a curated record. NCBI's taxonomy places the organism in Eukaryota, Viridiplantae, Streptophyta, Magnoliopsida, Apiales, Apiaceae. The transcript is spliced from 3 exons.